RNAcentral lists this ribosomal RNA (431 nucleotides) under Eutrombicula sp. RNAcentral's name for it is "SSU rRNA". It matches the Rfam family "Eukaryotic small subunit ribosomal RNA", at positions 609 to 1043 of the family's 1831-position model. Lineage: Eukaryota; Metazoa; Arthropoda; Arachnida; Trombidiformes; Trombiculidae. The record is from RNAcentral.
GUUGUUGCGGUUAAAAAGCUCGUAGUUGGAUCUCAGCUCACGCUAAGUGGUCCACCUAAUGGUGGUUACUACUUAGCUGAGCAUUUUACAGAUUUGUCUCUUGAUGCUCUUCACCGAGUGUCAAGAGUGGUCUGUACGUUUACUUUGAAAAAAUUAGAGUGCUUAAAGCAGGCAACUCGCCCGAAUAAUCUUGCAUGGAAUAAUGGAAUAGGACCUUGGUUCUAUUUUGUUGGUCUCCGGAAUCUGAGGUAAUGAUUAAGAGGGACAGACGGGGGCAUUCGUAUUGCGCCGCUAGAGGUGAAAUUCUUGGACCGGCGCAAGACGAACUACAGCGAAAGCAUUUGCCAAGAAUGUUUUCAUUAAUCAAGAACGAAAGUUAGAGGUUCGAAGGCGAUCAGAUACCGCCCUAGUUCUAACCAUAAACCGAUGCC